Molecule: ribosomal RNA, 484 nt
Filed under: uncultured bacterium
Lineage: Bacteria
Description: partial 16S ribosomal RNA
Rfam family: Bacterial small subunit ribosomal RNA
Source: RNAcentral
AUUGAACGCUGGCGGCAGGCCUAACACAUGCAAGUCGAGCGGAUGAAGGGAGCUUGCUCCUGGAUUCAGCGGCGGACGGGUGAGUGAUGCCUAGGAAUCUGCCUGGUAGUGGGGGAUAACGUCCGGAAACGGGCGCUAAUACCGCAUACGUCCUGAGGGUGAAAGUGGGGGGUCUUCGGACCUCACGCUAUCAGAUGAGCCUAGGUCGGAUUAGCUAGUUGGUGGGGUAAGGGCCUACCAAGGCGACGAUCCGUAACUGGUCUGAGAGGAUGAUCAGUCACACUGGAACUGAGACACGGUCCAGACGCCUACGGGAGGCAGCAGUGGGGAAUAUUGGACAAUGGGCGAAAGCCUGAUACAGCCAUGCCGCGUGUGUGAAGAAGGUCUUCGGAGUGUAAAGCACUUUAAGUUGGGAGGAAGGGCAGUAAGUUAAUACCUUGCUGUUUUGACGUUACCAACAGAAUAAGCACCGGCUAACUUCGUG